ACAAUACCUGUGCAACCAAAAUUAAUGUAGUCGGAAAUACUUUCAACUUACAAAUAUUUUUGAUGUUUCGAAACUCCUCUAAAAAACAUUUGAACUCAUUGCUAGCUCUAAGAUAAUUUUUAAUUUUCAAAAUUAGAGGAGGAUUAAGUAUCUAAACAUGAUUUGGAAGGGUUUAUGAGCUUCACUAAUGCUAAUGACUUGAUUUGAGAGUACGAGAAUCAUCAAGAGGCACUCCCACCUACCACACAUGCAUAAAGAAACAAGGAGUAGCCUGCCAUGCUUGUUUGCUGCAGCUCAAAGGACAAGACAUUGAGUGAAUUGAGAAAACAACAAAGCUAUGACACAUAGAUGCAUGAUUUUCAACAAAAUGACAGCACAAAGGAGUGGAGGAGAUUGAUUUGGAGAUGCCCUUCACAUGAAGACCUGAAUUUUUUUGUACAAUAAUGAGCAAGUGGCCAUGUGAAGAAAGAUGAGGAGGAAAGGAGCCAGAAAGACACCAGGCCGUGCCCCCCUUUGGUAGGUAAGCCACUCUCAUUUUUGCUCAUCAUAUUCCACCAAGAACACCUCUGGACAGCCUCUGAAAAAUUUGAAACUCCACUCAUACACAAAAAUUCAAGCAAAUAAAAAUUUCAGCAAGCACCUCUUGUUAAUUCUUGCUCUUGUGCAAUUCCUCACCAGCAAG
This 682-nucleotide long non-coding RNA is filed under the name Setaria viridis. RNAcentral's name for it is "long non-coding RNA (SVIR_LNC006910)". Lineage: Eukaryota; Viridiplantae; Streptophyta; Magnoliopsida; Poales; Poaceae. The record is from RNAcentral.